This 2281-nucleotide long non-coding RNA is filed under the name Homo sapiens (human). RNAcentral describes it as "non-protein coding LINC01270:10". Lineage: Eukaryota; Metazoa; Chordata; Mammalia; Primates; Hominidae. The record is from RNAcentral.
AUUAAUGACCCGGAGCCACAUGACGGAGCAUGACACAGCACUUUUGGGCACAAGGCAGGGCCCAGAGGGGUGCGUGGGGGCCGCAGCCCAGCCCCCAAGCCCCGCCAGCGGCUUUACUGGGGUGUAACAAACACACGAUAAACUGCGCAUAUUCCAGUGUUCAUGUGGAUGAGUUUGGACAUAUGCACACACUUCCGAAACCACCAGCACAAUCAAGACAGCAGACAUAUCCAUCGCCCCCAAGGGUGUCCUUGUGUCUUUUUGUCAUUCAUCCCUCCCGGCCGCCCCAUCCACACUCCCAUCGCCUGCCGACUGUGGCUGAUCUGCUUUCUGCGGCUGUGGAUUAGUUUGCGUUCUCUACAAUUUUCUGAAGCACCAGUUAGCCCAGAUGCUUCUCAUCUUUGGAGUUGAGCUGCAGGCUGGAGACCUGGAAGGCCCUCGCAGCGCCUGCUCCCAUCCUCUCACCUCACGAAAGCGCAGGAAUGUGGGUUUGGAGCCAAUGAAAAGUACUGGAAUCUGGCUCUGCUCUGUGACCCUGGACAAGUCACUGCCCCUCUCUGGGCUUCAGUUUCCUCCUUGCUCCAUGAGGGCAGGGGAUUUUGUCUGUUUCAUUCACAAUGUGUUCCCAGAGCUCAGCACAGUGUCAGGCACACACUAGGUAACAGCACCUCGACUUCCUACUGAAGAACCCCCUCUUCCCUUUUCUCAGUCCAUGAGGCUGGGGGUGCCCAGAGGCCUCUGUCUCCAGGGGUGGACAUGUGACCGGGUCUUGCUCUAGUGAUUGGUCCAGGGAUGGGCACAUGACUGAGCCUGCCCAAUGAAACUUGAUCUUGGGACUUCAGGGUUGGCCAUGAUUUGUGAAGGAGAUGCCAUUUUCCAUUGGAUGGACAGUGAGCAAGUGAACGCUUAGAGAAGAAGAGGACAAAACAAGGGAAAAGCCUGCCUGACAGGAAGCAGCACAGAGCUGGACAGGCUUUGAACUCCUGGAUCCCACUGUACCUGAAAUUAGGCACCUUCAACUUUCUAGUUAUGUGAGCCACUGUCUUUCCCAUUUUUGGCUGAAAACAGUUGGGACUGGCUUUCUGUCCCUUGCAUACAGAAGGUGCUGACUGACCCCUGCCCCAUGGAAGAAGAUACUCCAGGCAGAGGAAAUAGUGUGUAUAGACACCCCUAAGCGAAUGCCAAGCGGGGCACUCAUGUACCAAGAAGAAGGAGGAGGAGGCACCUGGGAGCUGAGCUUAAGAGUUAGUCGGGUGGUCAAGGUGGGAGAAGGGGGUAUCUUUAGCAGAGGGAACAACCAUUGCAAAAGCUUGGAGGGGUGACUAGUUAGUGAAGAUCAACUGUGUGCUGAGCUCGUGUUGGGUGGCAAGGGACACAGACGAAAAGGGCACGGUGGAACCCAGCUACUUCUCACCUGCUCCAGCGCAGUGCAGGCUUGUCUGCUUUUGGAGCCGAGCCUGGACACCUCCGUGUCCUUCCCCCGGCAGAGUGCUGCCAGCACGCUGUCUCAGACUCUCCAGCAUCUCCUGGUUGAUGUGCAUCAUGGGGACCACACAAGAUUAUUUUAUAGGCUGCACAGGCAAAGCAUAAAAUCACCUCGGGUCACAUAGCGAGAGUUAUUCUCUCUGCAAAUUCUUUACAGUCUUUCCUUUAUAUCCAGAAGAGUCUCUGUGUGGUGCUAACUUGCCUCGAAGACCAAAUAAUUGCUAGUCUCCCUUUGUGAAAAGGAGAGCAGGUGUCAGGCUCAUUCAUGUCUCAGGCACACAAUUGUAUCUAGCUAGACUUUUCAAAAUGUCCUAUAGAGCUGCAGCACAUAUGAAUGAGGUGUCCAGCUGGUCCCAAACCUGUAAUCGGCACCCCAGUGAGCAGACUGGACAUCCCCACCCCCACAGCUGCCCUUUCUCCCCUCCACUCAUGUUCCCUCUAGGGCCACCACGAUCCCGACUUGUAUCACCACAGAUGAGUUUCACAUGUUUUUGAAUUUUACAUCUUAUCUGUUUUCUGUUCCUAUACAAGUUUGCCUUUUUUGAAUUCCAUAUAAGUGGGAUUCUACAAUGUGUUAUCUCAAUUUGAGUCUGUUUUUUUUUUCCUGCUCAGCAUGAUGUUUUUGAGAUGCAUAUAUGCGGUUUUGUGUAUCUGUAGAUGGUUCUUUUUUAUUGCAGAAUAAUGUUCCAGGGUAUGGAUGUACCAAAGCUUGUUCAUCCAUUCACCAGCUGAGGGAUAUUUGGACUGUUUCCAGUUUUCAGCCAUUAUAAAUAAAGCCACUAGAAACAUUUGCAAA